This 254-nucleotide ribosomal RNA is filed under the name uncultured bacterium. RNAcentral describes it as "partial 16S ribosomal RNA". It matches the Rfam family "Bacterial small subunit ribosomal RNA", at positions 524 to 776 of the family's 1533-position model. The record is from RNAcentral.
UACGUAGGGUGCAAGCGUUAAUCGGAAUUACUGGGCGUAAAGCGUGCGCAGGCGGUUAUGCAAGACAGAUGUGAAAUCCCCGGGCUUAACCUGGGAACCGCAUUUGUGACUGCAUAGCUGGAGUACGGCAGAGGGGGAUGGAAUUCCGCGUGUAGCAGUGAAAUGCGUAGAUAUGCGGAGGAACACCGAUGGCGAAGGCAGUCCCCUGGGCCUGUACUGACGCUCAUGCACGAAAGCGUGGGGGAGCAAACAGG